AACGAACGCUGGCGGCAGGCCUAACACAUGCAAGUCGAGCGCCCCGCAAGGGGAGCGGCGGACGGGUGAGUAACGCGUGGGAACGUGCCUCUUGCUACGGAAUAGCCUCGGGAAACUGGGAGUAAUACCGUAUGUGCCCUACGGGGGAAAGAUUUAUCGGCAAGAGAUCGGCCCGCGUUUGGAUUAGGUAGUUGGUGGGGUAAUGGCCUACCAAGCCGACGAUCCAUAGCUGGUUUGAGAGGAUGGUCAGCCACACUGGGACUGAGACACGGCCCAGACUCCUACGGGAGGCAGCAGUGGGGAAUCUUAGACAAUGGGCGCAAGCCUGAUCUAGCCAUGCCGCGUGAGCGAUGAAGGCCUUAGGGUUGUAAAGCUCUUUCAGUGGGGAAGAUAAUGACUGUACCCACAGAAGAAGCCCCGGCUAACUCCGUGCCAGCAGCCGCGGUAAUGUAUCG
Molecule: ribosomal RNA, 455 nt
Filed under: uncultured bacterium
Lineage: Bacteria
Description: bacterial SSU rRNA
Rfam family: Bacterial small subunit ribosomal RNA
Source: RNAcentral